This 477-nucleotide ribosomal RNA is filed under the name uncultured bacterium. Its description in RNAcentral is "partial 16S ribosomal RNA". It matches the Rfam family "Bacterial small subunit ribosomal RNA", at positions 28 to 507 of the family's 1533-position model. The record is from RNAcentral.
GAUUAACGCUGGCGGCGUGCAUAACACAUGCAAGUCGAACGAUGAAACUUUAAUGAACCCUUCGGGGAGAAUUAAAGCGGAUUAGUGGCGAACGGGUGAGUAACGCGUGAGUAACCUGCCUUACACAAGGGGAUAGCCUUUGGAAACGAAGAAUAAUACCCUAUAAAACCAUAAAAGCACAUGCAAUUAUGGUCAAAGUGAUAGCGGUGUAAGAUGGACUUGCGUCUGAUUAGCUAGUUGGUGAGAUAAAAGCCCACCAAGGCAACGAUCAGUAGCCGGCUUGAGAGAGUGUACGGCCACAUUGGGACUGGGACACGGCCCAGACUCCUACGGGAGGCAGCAGUGGGGAAUUUUGCACAAUGGGGGAAACCCUGAUGCAGCGACGCCGCGUGAUUUAGAAGGCCUUCGGGUUGUAAAAAUCUUUUGUAUAGGAAGAAAAUGACAGUACUAUACGAAUAAGGUCCGGCUAAUUACGUG